This 301-nucleotide ribosomal RNA is filed under the name uncultured bacterium. Its description in RNAcentral is "partial 16S ribosomal RNA". It matches the Rfam family "Bacterial small subunit ribosomal RNA", at positions 509 to 807 of the family's 1533-position model. The record is from RNAcentral.
CAGUAGCCGCGGGAAUACGAAGGGUGCAAGCGUUACUCGGAAUUACUGGGCGUAAAGCGUGCGUAGGUGGUGGUUUAAGUCCGUUGUGAAAGCCCUGGGCUCAACCUGGGAAUUGCAGUGGAUACUGGGUCACUAGAGUGUGGUAGAGGAUAGUGGAAUUUCCGGUGUAGCAGUGAAAUGCGUAGAGAUCGGAAGGAACAUCUGUGGCGAAGGCGACUAUCUGGGCCAUUACUGACACUGAGGCACGAAAGCGUGGGGAGCAAACAGGAUUAGAUACCCCAGUAGUCCCUGUCUCUUAUAC